UACGGAGGGAGCUAGCGUUAUUCGGAAUUACUGGGCGUAAAGCGCACGUAGGCGGCUUUGUAAGUUAGUGGUGAAAGCCUGGAGCUCAACUCCAGAAUUGCCUUUAAGACUGCAUCGCUUGAAUCCAGGAGAGGUGAGUGGAAUUCCGAGUGUAGAGGUGAAAUUCGUAGAUAUUCGGAAGAACACCAGUGGCGAAGGCGGCUCACUGGACUGGUAUUGACGCUGAGGUGCGAAAGCGUGGGGAGCAAACAGG
RNAcentral lists this ribosomal RNA (253 nucleotides) under uncultured bacterium. RNAcentral's name for it is "partial 16S ribosomal RNA". It matches the Rfam family "Bacterial small subunit ribosomal RNA", at positions 524 to 776 of the family's 1533-position model. The record is from RNAcentral.